This 392-nucleotide long non-coding RNA is filed under the name Solanum tuberosum (potato). RNAcentral's name for it is "long non-coding RNA (STUB_LNC004337)". The record is from RNAcentral. Lineage: Eukaryota; Viridiplantae; Streptophyta; Magnoliopsida; Solanales; Solanaceae.
UGUAUUCCAUAUAAUUUUAAACUACACAAACACACACAGUCAAAUGUGAACCUGUGUGCUCCAAACAUAGUCCAUGUCCACACUUCAAAGUUCAAAUAUGCAAAGGAUUUCACGGAUCAAUUACUUCUAUCUGAAUUUGAGUUUUAUUACAACAUAAGCUUUUCAGAAAUACAUAUUAUACUAAAAGAAGUGAAUAUGUUGCUAGUUUAGCAAUAAUACAAAAAGUGGUAAAUAUUUGUAGCUAAAUCAAUUGGAAUAGAUUUACCUGAAGUAGACUCUUCUUGGAGGAGAAAUCUAACUGAAAGAAGGCAAAUGGAAUAAUGGGACAAACACACCUUAUCAAGAGUAUUUUAAAGAACACCUUAUGAUGCACUUUAUAGAGUAUUUUAAAG